This 213-nucleotide non-coding RNA is filed under the name Pseudovibrio sp. Lineage: Bacteria; Pseudomonadati; Pseudomonadota; Alphaproteobacteria; Hyphomicrobiales; Stappiaceae. The record is from RNAcentral.
AUCAAUAGCCGGGUAUUUGGUAUUUUUAUCGAUCAGAUGAAAAUGAAAAGGGAACACGGUCCUAUUGGAUAAGCCGUGGCUGCCCCCGCAACUGUAAGCGUAGAGUUGUUGCUCACACAUGCCACUGAUGCUGUUGUUUAAAGCAGUGUUGGGAAGGCGGAGCAGCAAUAAGGACGCGCAAGCCAGGAGACCUGCCAGAUGCAGUCACUCACC